Long non-coding RNA from Cajanus cajan (pigeon pea), 397 nucleotides. RefSeq lists it as uncharacterized. The record is from RefSeq and is a predicted model, not a curated record. Lineage: Eukaryota; Viridiplantae; Streptophyta; Magnoliopsida; Fabales; Fabaceae.
AUCAAUGUCAUUGAAAAAGAGGAUAGAACUUGCUCAAAAAGAAAUAGAGGUUUUAAGGAAGGAAAUAGAAGACCUUAAGACAUGGGUUGGUAUGAUAGAGACCAUGAAAGACGAACAAUUAAAGGAAUAUUUAGAAAAUCACGCUGAAGAAUUAAAAUUGACAAAGGGUCAAAAGAUCAAGAAUAAGAGGAGCUUGGAUCUGGCGGAGAAAGAGAUCACACUGUAGCGUUCUCACCUUCAUAGAAGCAUUUUCCAAGCAAGGGAUAGUGAAACUAUCUCACUCAUGUGAAAUAAAUGUGGGUAGUGGAAUUGUCCCUCAAUCUUGUAAGUUCUAUGAUGUGAGUUUUGGAGGGAUUUUGAACACUCAAAAGUUGUGUUGAAUCUAUAUGUGAUUUGG